RNAcentral lists this long non-coding RNA (17400 nucleotides) under Medicago truncatula (barrel medic). RNAcentral's name for it is "long non-coding RNA (MTRU_LNC000278)". The stretch from base 9169 to 9259 matches the Rfam family "MIR5298 microRNA precursor family". Lineage: Eukaryota; Viridiplantae; Streptophyta; Magnoliopsida; Fabales; Fabaceae. The record is from RNAcentral.
CUUGCACAACUACUCCUUUGCUUCACAAUUUUCAUUUUCAACUUCCUCUACUUCACAAUUUACCAAUGGCAUCAUCAGCUACUACAAUGAAGUUCUUCUCUUUCUUUUUUGUUGUCUUUGUGGCUGUUGUGGCCUCGGCUCAAGACCUUAGUCCCUCAUCCGCUCCGGCACCAGGUCCUGAUGUUGGGGCUUGUGGAUCUGUUACGAGUUCAGUUGCUAUGAUCGGAGCUUCAAUUGUGUUGUCAAUGCUUGCCAUCUUGAAGAACUGAAAACAUCAUGAACCCACUAAUUUUCUGGUGGAUUUCGUGGAAACAAAGAAAAUGAACACAACUCAAAGAUAGUCGUUAUUGUUGAUUAUUAUGAGUUGAUCUACCUACACAUUUUCUUGUGUACUAUACUUGAGAGCGAGAUAAUAUUUAUUAUCCUAUUUCAUUAUUCAUUGUAGGUGUUAUGUAAAAAUAAAAAGGAUUUUAUCAUCCUUUGUCUAAAAAUAAUUAUUAGCAUCUUAGUGUUAUAGCUUAUUCGUUUUUGUGUGUAAUAUAUUAACAAUGAUUUUUGUAAUUUAUUAUUUUUCCAAAUCUUAUUCCUCGCUUUUGGUAUUUUUUGCUCAAAAAAAAAAAUAACAAAGAAGUGACCAAGUCGAGAGUCUCAGCAAGGUCAUGAAAUGCCCUACAUCUCAUUGAGUACUAAUAUAAUUAUUUACAGAUCAUCUAAUAAAAAGUUUCUUACAUUGACAACGAAAGCUAAAUACACAUAUUUGCAGAAUAUUAAUCAAUUACAACCUAAUCCAACUCCAUUGACAACUUACUCGUAUGUUUUCGAUAAAUAAGUUUUCUUUUUAAUUUUUUACAUUGAAAAAUUAAGAAUGGAGACGAGCAAAAUAUGUGUCUAAAACGAGCAAAAUUUGUCUCUAAACAUAUCUGGGACAAAAUCACAUACCGAACUGGGUCUGUGGUUACUUCCAUCGUCGCUAAGCCUUGAGAGACAUAAUUUAAAUUUCCACCUCCAAUCAUAAACAAAAUAAAUUUUUCUCCAAAUACUAAUAUCUGUCGUUCAUGGUUAAAAAAUAGAUGGACUAAAUCUGACGUUGUUGGAGAUAGAAACCACAAUCUCUAACAAACAUAAUUCCGUCUCUAAACUUUGUUGUGAAGUUUAUAAAUUUCGUCUCAAAUUAUUAAUAUUAUGGGUGUGUUUGUUUCUAUGGAAAGAUAGUGAGGGGGAGAGAAAGACAAGGGAAAGAAACAUUUUCCAUGGUUUGGAACAAGUGAAACCAACUAAUGAAAGAAUGAGAUACCAUGGCUUCCACACCAAAAACCUUUUCAUGGCAAUAUGUGCAGAAAGGUUGGGGAAACAACUAACUUUUGUUUAAAAAGUCCAAAGCACCCCUAGUUUUAUUGUUUUUUUUUUUUUUUUUUUAUUUCUAAACGGGUGUGCAUAUAUAUAAGGGUAUAUAUCUCCAUUAGAAAAAAAAAUAGAUCUUUCUUUCCUCCAAUUUUCUAAUCCACUUUCUAUUAAACCAAACAACCAAAACAAUCCCUUCAUUUUCCAUUUCCUUUCUAUCCUCAUACAAUCUUUCCUUUUACUAUCUUUCCUCUUACUUUCUCUUCUCAUCCAAACAUAGCCUAUGUCUCUACAUAGAAGGAUUGAAGUUUCGUCUCUAAAAAUAUUAUUGUUUUUCAAAUCUACCUCAAUAUUCCAAAUAUUUGCUAAAACGAUGUUUAAAAUUUUUAUUAUGUUUAUCUAGCUCUCGAUAAUGUCAUACUUAUAUUUUGAUAAACAUCAAAUUUGCAAAAAUGACAUAACAUACGCUCAUACAACUACACCACAUGAUAUCAAUACAUAAAGUUGUCAAAUAUAUGUAAAAACAAGGGUGGCUUAAGCACGGGCCAAGGGGGUGGCAGCCUAGGGCACCAUAAAUUUAGAGGCACCAAAAAAUUAUUUUUAAUAUAUAUGUGUGUGUGUGUGUAUUCCCAUUAAAAAAAAUAUAAAAUGCUAGUUGCUGACAAAAUCACAAGGCACUACAAAGUCUAAACUAAUAAAUGACGUGAAUAAAUAAAAUGUAAAAUAAAACCAGUCAACUACAUGUACCAAAAAAUAUUAAUUACAUCCAUAAUUUUAAGAGCUAAACCGAUGAGUCAUGAGUGAAAAGCAAGUGAAUAAUCUAAUUGAGGCACUACAAUUAAAAUAAUGAUAUAGAGUGUUAUGAGUAAUAAAGAGUAGGGUUUUUUUGCUAAAGUAUAUUAAAAGUCGAAUUAUUUUACCUAGUAUAUGAGCCUCUUUUCUUUCUAAUUCUAAUUCUUAUUCUCUAUGACUAAUAUCUCCAUCUCAAUUUGAAAACAAAAAAUAUCUCUCCAUCUUAAUUACGCAACUAUUAGCACAAGAACAAUCAAUUGUCAAAAGCAUAAGUGAUGUAUACGAUUGAUCGCAACUUCAUAAGAUAGGAGUAGGCGCCAAUUGCAAUUGCCAAACAAUUUAUUUAUUAUUUAAUAGUCAAACAAAUUUUAACUCUUGAGGAAUUAACAUUGAAUUAUGAAAUGUUGUGAUGAUAUAAACAUUGAAUUAUGAUCCAUGUCUGCUGUUUUGAUAAACUUGUCGAGUGAAGCCUAGACUCUGGAACAUGGAUUAUAGCUUAGAGCUAAUUGGUUUACAUUUCAAAGAUUCAUACUUGUGUUCUUCUUGCACAAUGUCAAAUGAAAUGUUUAAUAGUUUUCCCUUUCAUUUCUUUUAAUCGUAUCAUUUUUUGUGGAAUUUUUUUAUAAGGGCACCACUCUCUUGAUUCGUCCAAGGCAUCCAAAUUUAAAGAGUUAGCCCUGUGUAAAAAGAUCAUACUAUAUUUGAUAUACCAAAAAUUAGCUAAAUAAAAGUAAUCAUACUAAAGUUUAACAUCAAUCCAUCUCAUUGUCACCAAUAUAAAGCUAUCCAGAAUAUAAAAAGAUCAUGAUAUGUUGAUCUAACUAAAAAAAAACAUUAAUAAAAGGGACAAAGCUAGAGUUCAUCCAUCUCGGCGUUACCAAUAUCACCUUAUCCUUCUGGUUGAAUCGAAGAGUUCAUAUUAGGCAUUUCAAACGUUCCAUCUUCGGUAUUAUCAUUUCUUGUACAAAAAAAUUCAUAUCAAGUUCAGCAUCUUUUUCUAACGAAACUACAUCGAUAAAAAUUGGAGGUUACAACAAUAGCUUAUGAUCCUAGCCUCCAUAGCAGUAACCUUUUGGCUAAAUGUUUGUUUUUAUUUCUUUUUUUAUCAAAAAAAUGUUUUUUUCCUUUACAAAUGAUCUUUUUUUAAUUUCUAACUAACAAAUUGUUUCUUAACAAAAAUAUACAAUAAAUCUUUAGUCCUUAAAAUUGACUAUAUAAUAAGAGUUUAAUUUAUAUACUUUAUCAUUGGACAACACAUAUACCACUUAAACAUUUAUUCUUUGUCUCAUAAUAAUUGUCACCUUAUAAUAUAACACAACAUUUAUUAAUUUUUUCAUCAAUAUAUUCUUAUUUAUUGAAUUUCACUUCUUUUAAUUAAUAAACUAUCUUAAAUUAGUAAGAGAGUUUUGAUAAAUUACACACCAUCUGGUCACUAUUACAAGUAAAAAUCAACUUUUUAAAUACUAUAUAAAAAGUGGAUUUUUACAUAUAAUAAUGACUUUAGAGAUGUAUUAAUUUCACUAUUGAAACUAACAUAAUUGAUUUUUUUUUUUUUUAAAUCAUGUAGAACCUCAAAGAGGCAAUUAAAAGAGGGAAUACAAGAGUAACUUCAAAGAACAAUUCUACCACCAAUAAGAAUACGUCUAUUGUUCCACUUGGACAAACGAUUCCUUUAUACACCCUCCACUUGAAUUAUUAAUGUAUUCUUAGAACUUGGUACAACAGUCCAAGUCUUGGUCGAAAAAAGAGGUGUCCAAGUCAAUUUUAAAUCAGAAACGUUGGCAAUUAUAGCAUGGUGAAUCCUUCAAAGAAAAAACAAGCAUGAUGAUUUUACUUGGUUGUUUAACAAAACUAAACAGCACAUUCACACAGCGCCCAAUCGUAAACAAACAUCAAACGGCCGACUCAUUCAUAAUACAUUUUCAAGCUCCAGCUAUCCACGCUAUCUGUGGACCCCACACGCUUCUCUAAAUAAUAAUUCUUCCCUUAUAAAUACUUUCACACCCUCUCAAUUCUCAUAUCACCACUUCUCAACAUUCUCAACUUCUCUUUAUAUUUUCGAUCUUCAUUUUCAAUCUUCUAUUCCAUAGUUUUGCAAUGGCAUCAUCAGCUAUAAAGUUCUUCUCCUUCUUUUUGGUCAUCAUCUUCGCCGCCACAGUGGCCUCUGCCCAAGACCUUAGUCCCUCGUUGGCUCCGGCACCAGGUCCUGAUGCUGGAGCUGCUGGAUCUGUUACAAGUUCAGUGGCUAUGGUCGGAAUUUCGGUUGUAUUGUCAAUGCUCGCCAUCUUCAAGCACUAAAAACAUGAUGAUUCCACUCAUUUUCUUGUGGAUUCAUGGAAGUAGGCUGAUGUUCUGCUACAUAAUGUUGGUUUGCGGUAUAGUGAUGAUUGAUAUGAGUUAAUCUAUGUAUACUUGAGAGCGUGAGAGUGAGAGAUUUUUACCGUAUUUAUUUUUAUAUUUCAUUAUUUAUUGUAGGUGUUAAGGAAAAAUAAGGAAGACUUUACUAUCCUUGUCGAGUAAUUAUUAUUGUCAUGUUAGCGUUAUGCUUAUUCAUUUUUGUGUAUAAUAUAUAAACAAUGAUAUUAUUUUAUACUUGGUAUUUUUUUAUUUUAUAAAUAUUCUUAUUUUAUAUGUCUUUUAUCCUUGAUCAUUUAAGUUUGGACUUGAAUAUGAAAAUAAUUAAACAAGUCAUUUAUUUAAAAUGAUUAAUUAAUACGUUCAAAUUUUUGUAAUAUAAAGGGAAAUAUAUGUUUAAUUGUAUCUUAACGUUAUAAAAGAACCAAAAUAAUAUUAUUAUUUUUUUUGUUUUAAAGAAUGGAGUCGUGGAAUUCAAUUUAUAUAGGUGAAACGAAUUAUUGUGGGUUUGCCUAUGCCUAUUCGAAACUAGAGAAUUCGAGCAGCGAAAAUUCAAAUGAUAUAAGUGAAACAAAUUAUUGCGGAUUUGGCUAUGCCUAUUCAAAACCAAAGAACUAUUGUGGGUUUGACUAUGUCUAUUCAAAACCAAAAAUUCGUUAACCUAAAAAUUUAGCAGAAGUGGUUAAUGAGCUACACCAAAAAUGAAUAAUUCUAGAGAUUCUGAGUUGGUUCCUGAGCUCAAAGUUUUUUUUUGCACAAACCAAAUGAUAUAUAAUAAUAACAACAAUUAUCCACCCUGCACAAGGCGUGCAAAAGUGAAUCAUCUAUCAAAAUAUACAAAGUCCAGGUGCCAAAAAAGAGGGACACCAUCAUAAACAUCGAAAAAAAGUUACCGGUAAACACCCAUACAAAGUAACGGGUGUUUCACCAAUCAUAAUAACUGUAAACAAAGGAUGGUUGUUUGGUUUUCACCCACAAAAAAGAUGUCAUCUUGAUUUUUUCGAUGAGAACAUAAGGAUGUGAUGCCACAUUUUUAAAGAUAUGGUUAUUCCGAUCCUUCCAUAUAACCCAAGCACAAGCAUACCAAAUACCUUUUAAAAAAGAUUGAGUGCACCGUGGUAAUCCCGCCAUAUUGGAAAACUGAAGAUGAUGUUCACGUUACACGAUGAACAACUGAGUGGACAAAUUAACACGAAAAAAACAAACAAUCGUUUACGCUAAUAAUUUGUUGUAUACCAUACUUUUGAAAUUUGUUGAAUUUUAUCCACGAUAAAAUGCGACUUUAAAUCGGCCUCUUUGGAAAUAGGAAAUCAAAAUUCGCAUAACUUGUAUCAAAUCGCCCUUUUUUACCUUGUGGACAGGUCUUGCAUCUCUGCGAGCUUAAUAUUUUAUGGAGAAUAGGGAAUCAAAAUUCACAUAACUUGUAUCAAAUCGCCCUUUUUACCUUUAGAAAAAUGUGUAACCAUUACAUUUUUAUUCUCCAAGUUGCAAAAAAUGUAAAUUUUUAGGAUAAAGUUUUCUGUAUUUAAAAAGGAUAGAGAUUAAGAAAGAGAAAUAUGUAAGAGAGAAUGCGAGAAAAGAGAUAAAUGUAAAAUAUAAUAUAAUUUAAAAUAUGAUAUAAAAAACAAGGAAAAAUGUUUUAUAUUUUAGGUUUACUUGUUAAAAUAGCUUUUGUAAUAUAUGUGAAGUCUGAAAAUAAUCCUAGUAAAAAUAAAAACACAAAUUAUAUCCGUGUAAGAGAAAACAAUCAUGGUUAGAGAACAUAAUAAAUAGCAUGACGAUCUUGCUUAUUUAAAGCUAGAGGUAUAUAAGAUACCUAGCUCCCUACAUAUUUUGAUAAAAGAAUCUGAUUAAAGUAGUUUUAUAAAAAUAUCAACAAGUUGACACUAUUUAAAUAUCUUUAAAAAACAAAUCACUAACUUUUAAGUGAGAUUUCUUAGGGAAAGCAUAUGGCACAAGAAUGACUGCAAGAACAAUUCUACUACCAAUAAAAAUACGUUCUAUUAUUCCACUUGGACAAACAAUUUCUCAAUACAUUCACAACUUGUGAAUUAUUAAUGUAUUCUUAGAACUUACAAGAGUCCAAGUCUUGUUCGAAAAAAGAGGUAACCAAGUCAAUUUUAAAUCAGAAUCGUUGGCUAUUAUAGCCGUUGAUGUCUUCAAAUAAAAAACAAAGAUACGAUAUUUAACAAAAGUGAACAGCACAUUCACACAGCUCACAAACGUAUAGAAACAUCUAACGGCCGACUCAUUCAUAGUAAUAUAUUUUCAAGCUCCAGCAGCUGUCCAUGUUAUCUGUGGACCCCACACUCUUCUCUAAAUAAUAAUUCUUCCCUUAUAAAUACUCUCACACCCUCUCAAUUCUCAUAUCACCACUUCUCAACAUUCACAACUUCUCUUUAUAUUUUCAUUUUCUCAUUUUCAAUCUCAAAUUCAAAGUUUUAUAAUGGCAUCAUCAGCUAUGAAGUUCUUCUCCUUCUUUUUGGUCAUCAUCUUCGCCGCCACCGUGGCCUCUGCCCAAGAUCUUAGUCCUUCGUUGGCUCCAGCACCAGGUUCUGAUGCUGGAGUUGCUGGAUCUGUUACAAGUUCAGUGGCAAUGAUCGGAGUUUCAGUUGUAUUGUCAAUGAUCGCCAUCUUCAAACACUAAAAACAUAAUGAUUCCACUUAUUUUCUUGUGGAUUUCAUGGAAGUAGACAAGUAAUAUUGACCUGUUCUGAUGCAUAAUGUUGUUUUGUGGUACGAUGAUGAUUGUUAGGAGUUUAUCUAUGUAUUUUUGAGAGUGUAAGAUAUUUUAUAGCAUUUACUUUUACAUUUUAUUAUUUAUUGUAGGUGUUAAAGUAAAAUAAAUAGGACUUUACCAUGGUUCUUGAGUAAUUAUUAUUGUCAUGUUUGCUUAUUUAUUUUUGUGGAUAAUAUAUAAACUAUGACAUUAUUACAUUUUUCUACUUAGUAUUCUUUUAUAAAUCUUUUUCUUUUAUUCAUAUUUAUUCUUUCAUCAUUUAAGUUUGGACUUUUUUUUUGUGUACCUUUUAGUUUGGACUUGAAUAUGAAAAUAAUUAAACAAGUUGUUUAUUAGAAAAAAAAUAGGUUUAAUUGCAUUUUUCCUCCUAUCUUUUGUUAAUUGUGCAAUUUUGCACCCCUUUAUUUUUUGAGCGAUUUUGCACCCCAUCUUUUUCCCCCUUUCUGAUUUUGCCCCCCGUCUUUGUGUUCAAUUGCACUUUUGCCCCCUAUCUUUUUGCUAAUUGUGCGAUUUUGCACUCUCUCUUCUUUUUUUUGAACGAUUUUGCACCUUAUCUUUAGCCCCUUUUCCUCUCUUUUAAUGAUGAUUUUUAACAAAACACAAUUGGCAAAAGAUGGGGUGCAAAAUCACUCAAAAAAAACAAGGGGUGUAAAAUUGCACAAUUAGCAAAAGAUAGGGGGAAAAGUGAAAUUAAGCCACUUUUUUCUUGACAAGAAAGCAUCUCCAAGAUUUUUGUAAGAAGAUAAAAGAAAUACUCCCUCCGGUCCUAUUUAUAAGAUAAAGUUGGGUCAACAAAAGUUGAUGUAUCAGGUUAACAAUUUUCUUAUAAAUAGGACCAGAGGGAGUAUAUGUUUAAUUGUAUAUUAAUUUUCAAAAAGAACCAAAAUUUAAGAUAAAAAUAAAGAUUUGCGAGAAAAUAAUAUAUUUAUUGAAUUUAACUCCAUUUCAUUAACCCACUGACUUUAAUUAAUAAGAGUGUUUUCUUUUUGUGGUGGCCGAAGUUUAAACCUCAAACCUUAUAUAUAUUAUGCAUUGUCUCCAGCAACUAAGUUAAAUUCACGAUGACAAUUAAUAAGAGUAUUUUGGUAAAUGAUACAUUAUUCAAUCACUAUUAUAAACAAAAAUCAAUUUUUUUUUAUAAAAUUUUAUUAUGACUUAUAAUAGUGAUCAGAGGAUGUACUAACAUUAUUAUUAAAAUCACCAUAACCGAACGUUUUCUUAAAGAGAAAUGUUAUUUGUACAACCAUUUUUAUACAACUUUUGUACAACUUUAUCUCUGAUACUCACAUUAUCUUCUUAUUCUCUCUUUUCUUUUUUCUCUCUCCAUUGUUUUUGACCAAUAAGAAGAGAGAACAACAAGGUUGUACCAAAAGUUGUACCAAAAUAGUUGUUCAAAUAUCAUUACUCUUUCUUAAAAAUCGUACACAACCACAAUGUGACAAUUAAAAGGUAUGGGGAGUGCGGAUAGGUAUUAUUCUUUCCCGAGAAAUGAUAUUUGUACAACCACUUUGUGAUAACUUUUUGAUAACUUUCUCUCUCAUACUCACAUUAUUCUCUUAUUCUCCCUCUUUCUUUUUCUCUCUCCAUUGUUUUUGACCAAUAAAAAUAGAGAGAAACGAAGUUGUCACAAAAAUCGUAUCAAAUGGUUGUUCAAAUAUCACUUCUCUUCUUUCCCGUGUCUUUUUCACCCGUCCAAUGAUAAUCCAACCAUUUCUAAUAAAUUUUUAUAAAGUUCAGUGAAAUAAAAUGAAUGGUUAAGAUGAGUGACUUCAAGAGAACAAUUCUACCAUUAAUAAAAAUAGGCUAAAUUACAUUUUUGGUCCCUUAACUAUUUAGGUAGUAUCACUUUGGUCCCUAAGUUAAAAUUUGAUUUAUUUUGUUCUCUUAACUCCUUCCUGCUACACAUUUUGGUAUUUUUCGUUAGUUUUAAUUCAAAAACGUUAGGUUUUCUUCAUUUUCUUCUGGAAUUUUUCUCGGAUUCAUGUUGUUGAAGGUUGAUGGAGAUGAUAUAAAGAUGAAAAAGAGGAGAAGAAGAUGAAGAAAACCUAACGUUUUUGAAUUAAAACUAACGGAAAAAACUAAAAUGUAUAACGAAGAGAAGUUAAAGGACCAAAAUAAAUUGAAUUUUAAUUAAAGGACCAAAACAAUACUAGCUUAAUAGUUAAUGAACCAAAAAUGCAAUUUAGCCAUAAAAAUAUGUCUAUGGUUCCACUUGAACAAACGAUUCCUCUAUACAUCCGCCAUAUGAAUUAUUAAUUGAUUCUUAGAACUUACAAGAGUCCAAGUCUUGAUCGAAAAAAGAAGAGUCCAAGUGAAUUUUAAAUCAGAAAAUAUUGGCUAUUAUAGCGGUUGAGUUAUUCAAAGAAAAACAAAAGAUAUAAUAAUUCUACUUUUUUGGUACUUUUGUUUAACAAAAGUGAACAGCACAUUCACACAGCUCACAAACGUAUAGAAACAUCUAACGGCCGACUCAUUCAUAGUAAUAUAUUUUCAAGCUCCAGCUGUCCACGUUAUCUGUGGACCCCACACUCUUCGCUAAAUAAUAUUCUUCCCUUAUAAAUACUCUCACCCUCUCAAUUCUCAUAUCAUCACCACUUCUCAACAUUCACAACUUCUCUUUAUAUUUUUAUUUUCUCAUUUUCAAUUUCAAUUUGAAAGUUUUACAAUAACAUCAUCAACUAUGAAGUUCUUCUCCUUCUUUUUGGUCAUCAUCUUCGCCGCCACCGUGGCCUCUGCCCAAGACCUUAGUCCUUCGUUGGCUCCAGCACCAGGUCCUGAUGCUGGAGCUGCUGGAUCUAUUACAAGUUCAGCGGCUAUGAUCGGAGUUUCAAUUGUGUUGUCAAUGCUCGCCAUCUUCAAGCACUAAAAACAUGAUGGAUUCCACUUAUUUUCUUGUGGAUUUCAUGGAGUAGGCAAGUAAUAUUGACUUAUUCUGGUGCAUAAUGUUGUUUUGCAGUACAGUGAUGAUUGUUAGGAGUUUAUCUAUCUAUUUUUGAGAGUAAUGUAAGAUAUUUUACGGUAUUUAUUUUUACAUUUCAUUAUUUAUUGUAGGUGUUACAGUAAAAUAAAAAGGACUUUACUAUCGUUGUUGAGUAAUUAUUAUUGUCAUGUUUGCGUAUUCAUUAUUGUGUAUAAUACAUAAACAAUGCCAUUAUUGCAUUUUUCUACUUGGUAUAUUUUUUUAUAAAUCUUUUUAUUUUAUUCAUCUUUUAUCUUUCAUCAUUUAAGUUUGGACUUUUUUUUGUGUACCUUUCUGUUUGGAAUUGAAUAUGAAAAUAAUUAAAAAGUUGUUUCUUAGAAGAAAAAAAAUAUUUAAUACUAACAGCUCAAUUUUUGUUUUGAACAAUCAAAUUUAUUAGAAAUGACAGAAGUAGUACUUAACUCACAAUUCAGGAAUAGUACAAGGGAUACUUGCUUAGUAAAAAAUCCAAACUCUAACUUAAGUAUUUAAACAAAGAAGAGAGUUUGAGUAUCAUUUAUUAUAUAAACACGGUCCCACUUUUUUCUUGACAAGAAAGCAUCUACAAGAUUUUUGUAAGAAUAUAAAAGAAAUAUAUGUUUAAUUGUAUCUUAAUUUUCUAAAAGAACCAAAAUUUAAGAUAAAAAUAAAGAUAUUAAAAGAUAAAGAUUUGUGAGAAUAUAAUAUUUUUUUUGGUUUUAAAGAAUGAAGUGGCGAAAUUCAAUUCAUAUAGGUGAAACGAACUAUCUCGGGUUUGAACAUGCCUAAUCAAAAACAAAAAGUCGCAAAAAGUCGUUAACCAACAAAUUUAGCUGAAAUAGUUUAUGAACUACACCAAAAAAUAAUUUAACACGAAGAAAAAAAAAGGAAAAAAUCGUUUACGUUAAUAAUGAGUUGUGGUCUUUCUAUAAACUGGCAAAUUUAUUAAUCAAGCCAAUUUACAAGAAGUAACGAAAGCACAAGCAAACAAGAAAAAAACAAUCAUAAAAUAAAAAUAUAAAAAACAAGUACUACACCCUAAGAACAUGCCCUCAUAAACACAAUUUUACACUACACAAUCCGAAGAAAGACCUAACUAAGGUUUUACAAUUCGAGAGUUUACCUCAAUUUGUUUUACCUAUAUAAACUCAAACUCAUAUAAGUUUAUUUAAAAUUAAAAUUAUAUAAAAUUUAUUAUAUCCAUGACAUAAGUAAGCUAAUAUAAUAUUGCAAAUAUGUCAAUAAUUCAAAAUAUGACUUAAUUACAAAGACAAAGUAUACAUAACCACCAUAAUAAAGAGUUGUGUUCGGCUUAGCAUCAAAAUACAAAAUUAACUUGCAAAAUCAUAAGUUUGGUAAGACUUUAAACCAUCCAAUAAAGCAAGUUUUAAAAGUUUUUAAAGUUGUUAAUGUUGGAUAUUUAUAUAUUGGCUUCACUUUUGCCUAAAACAAAUAUUCAUGUGAGAUAUUGAACACGAUGUGUCAACAUCCUGGCAUGGUUCAGUUGAUCUGCACACUGUCUCGUUUUAUGCACGCGCUAUUUUAUUUAAAGAAUCCACAUCUUUAUUCAUGUUGGUCAAGCUGCGUGUUUUUAGCACAUGAUCAGAUCAGUUUGUGAUUUCCUAAGAUUGUGUUAUCUACUUAGGAAAGUUUGGAGGUGAUCACGAUGUUCCUAAUAAUGUGCCUACAUAUUAGGAGUUUCCUUUUUUGAUUCUGUUGAUCGUGAAAUGGAUCACCGGAUUGUUCUGAAGCACAACAAGUUUACUGACUCGUAUUGCUUCAGUAUUUAAACAAGACUCAUUCAAGCCGUCAUUUUGAAGAAUAGAUCAUCUAGGAUUUUGAGUCUGUUUGUGUGAGCUUUUCGUGUAUCAUCUUAAUGCAUGUUUAGGACUGUGUUUGAGUUGUAAAUUGUGCACUACUCUGAAGCUUUUAAGAAAAGAGUUAGGUAGUUUGUAAACUGCACCUAAGUUGUGAAAUACGGUGUUUAGUUUUUUUGUGUUUGUAAUUUGAGAAUCACAGGGGAUGUGAUCAAUUGUAAGGGAGUGAGAUGGGAUCUCAGAUCUAGGAGUUCCUAGGUUGAAGUCAGUACGGGUAGGUCCUAGGUCAUUAGCACAAACGAGGAGUUUGCUGAGAGCUAUUGAAUAAGGACUACACUAGUGGAUUUCCUUCCUGACUUGGUAGCCCCCAGAGUAGGUGACGUUGCACCGAACUGGGUUAACAAACUCAUUGUGCUUUUUACUUUUAUGCUUUGCGUUUUUCUUGUCUUUGUUAGCUUAGUGUUCGAAACAUUUCACUCAACAUCUGUUUUUGUAUAACUUGUGUUGAAACAUUGUAUGGAACAUCUUAAGUCUAACGUGCCAGAAUUUCAGUUAAUGAAGUUAUCCAAAAAAUAAACUAGUUAAUUUCUUCAAAAGUUCAAUCAUUCUAAAGUUUCUUAAUAUCAUUAUCAUUGGUGUCUUCAUCUCCAAUUUCAUCAAAUUCUUCUCGAGAUGAUAUAGAAUUUUCCAUAUUACAACCAAAUACAUGGCUUGAACUCACUUCAACAUUAAUUAACUCAUUCAAGUUUACUAUAGUUACAAGAUUUUACCAGGUUUAACACGUGUUAACUAACCCGGUCAAACAUUACAAUUUCAUCAAAAAUAAAGUAUAUCUGCGAGUUAACACGUUUUGGCCACCUAAAAAUGUAAACUCGGACGAAUUUACGAGUUAACAUUUGAUUUGUUGAACACUGCCCGCAACCACACCUGCCAGCUCCAUAAAAUCUACUGCCAAACCUCUACUGCUAAAUUACAUUCUAAAAAUAUGUGUGAGACGUUUUCAUCCGUUCCACAACCAAAUGAACAUAUUUUUUUACGAUUUAAUCCAAACUUCUCUUUUAACUAGAUUAUCUUUCGUCGGUAUCCUAUUUUGCAUCAUUUAUUCACACCAAAACUGAUGAAUACGCCUCCUUUAUCGUAUGUCCUUUUCUACCACUUAUCAUCCUAUCAUUCUUCAAAUUGUAUCUUCUUUAUCGUACAACUAAAUCAAACGCCUUUAAAUUUUUAAUCCCUACCCCUCCGACAUACUUUGUCAGUUAAUUUUCCUACUUACCUCUUUCCCAUCUCACCUUAAACUUCUAAAGAGAGAUUCCAGUUUAGAAAUUAAUCUAAAGUACCCUUGAAGAAAGAAAGAAAAUGGAUAGAUAAACCAUACAUCCCCAGUUUCAUUUUACUUGCCACUUUAGUGUUUUUUUUCUUCAUUUCGAAAUAAUUGUUACUUAUACUAAUAUAAUAUUUUUUUUCAUUAAUAUACCUUAAUUUAUUGAAUUUCACUCCAUUUAAUCAUCUCACUAACUUAUGUUUUGAUAAAUAAUACUAACUAUACAUGUUGUUAGUUAUCAUGAAAUCCCAGGGAUAAAGUACAUAAUGAUCAGCAAAAAAGAGAACAUACGAAUAUUCAUGUGGGAGAUACCCAUAGAAACUCAUAGUAGAAGGAAUAGAUUGGAUAAAAGAUGAUUAAGAGCGUACAAUGGUGAAAGCUAUUUAUAAGGGAAAGUUAGUCUAACUAACUCUUAACUACUCAACCAACCAGCUAACCAUAGUUUUCAUAUCAACUAACUAUGAUUUAUUCAUUAUACUCUAAUAGUCUCCCUCAAACUCAAAAUGGAGAAAUUCACCAAAUUUGAGUUACAAUUUAUUCACUAUAUUGUCCAACUCUACUCUCAAAAGUUACGAUUAACGUGACAUCAUGCUUUGGAAUACUUUAAUUUUUCCCAAAAAUGCCAAUUCCCUCCUUUGAUUAUAUUCAGUCGAAAAUGGCAUUUUUGGGGGUCCCAAUUUGUUAGCUGGUAUUUUCACCAGCCUCAUUUAAUAUGGUCAACAUUAGUUGACUUUUACUCUUGCAGGAAUUGAAGUCUUUUUCCUCAAUAAAAACAUUUUCAACGAAAUGUUGGAUUUAGUGUGAAGAGUCUCGAAGCAUUGAAGUUCGACAAGACACAUAGCAAGAGGCGAGGCCGUUGUAGUCAAGCAACUGCCUUUGGAGCGGGAAAGAUUCAAAUUUCAAAGGAGAAUCGGUUUCCUCAAAGGAGAACGUGGGAUACAAGCGGUUGUCUACAUGGAGGGAGUGUUGAUCGUGUGAUUAGUUUCUUUCCACUUAUUUCUUAUGUAUAAAUAAUAGUUUUCCAUAGGAAAACGGGUCGCAUAUCGCCUAUACAGAAUUUUCAAAACACUCGAAGUAUCGGCGCAAGAGAAAAUGGUCACAAAGAAUGUAUGUAAAGGAUUUGUCAAACCACCUUUAUUUUUAAUGCACUUGUAUUUGCACUUUUUCUUUUCUUUAAGUUUAUGCAAUUUAAACUUAAUGUUUUAAAAAACCUGUCGAAAGACGCCACACGGUCUCAUCCCGUUCCAUAAACAACCUACGAACUUGAUGAACGCACACCAACAAAUUGCACAACAUGUCCUAGGAUCUCUAGUUUGGUUCUUCUUGUUAUAAUCAAAACCAGUCAGUAUUUAUUUACCAUAAACACUGAUAAACAGCUAGUUAACUCACGGCAGGGGCAUUUUCAAAAAUUUGUUUGGGAGUGAACAAAACUUGUUGAAAGAAGAGCAUUUUUCUAAAAUGAUUUCUUAAUAAUUUAUAGAGCCCAAUCAAAUAGAGUCUUCAGUCACUGUAGCAUCUACUCCCAUGAAGUAUAAGAGCGAUUUCAAGAGAACAAUUCUACCACCAAUAAAAACACGUUUUUUGUUCCAUUUGGACAAACCAAUUCCUCUAUACAUCCACUACUUGUGAAUUACUCCAUUUGUUCCAUUUGGAGUAUUAAUGUAUUAAUGUAUUCUAGGAACCUAAAAGGGUCCAAGCCUUGUCCCAAAAAAGAGCAGUCCAAGUCAAUUUUAAAUCAGAAAACAUUGGCUAUUAAAGCGGUUGAGUCCUUCAAAGAAAAAACAAGCAUGAUAAUUUUACUUUUUUUUUAGGGAAAGCAUGAUAAUUCUACUUAGUUGUUUAACAAAACUAACAACACAUUCACACAGCGCACAAACGUAAACAAACAUCUAAUGACCGACUCAUUCAUAAUAGAUUUUUACAAGCUUCAGCUGUCCACGUUAUCUGUGAACCCCACACGCUUCUCUAAAUAAUAAUUCUUCCCUUAUAAAUACUCUCACACCCUCUCAAUUCUCAUAUCACCACUUCUCAACAUUCACAACUUUUCUUUAUAUUUUCAUUUUUUUCAUUUUCAAUCACUAUUCAAUAGUUUUGCAAUGGCAUCUUCAGCUAUAAAAUUCUUCUCCUUCUUUUUCGUCGCCAUCUUCGCUGCCAUCGUGGCCUCUGCCCAAGACCUUAGUCCUUCGUUGGCUCCGGCACCAGGUCCUGAUGCUGGAGCUGCUGGAUCUGUUGCAAGUUCGGUGGCUAUGAUCGGAGUUUCAAUUGUGUUGUCAAUGCUCGCCAUCUUCAAGCACUAAAAACAUGAUGAUUUCACUUAUUUUCUUGUGGACUUCAUGUAAGUAGACAAGUAGUAUUGACUUGUUCUGGUGCAUAAUCUUGUUUUGCAAUACAAUGAUGAUUCUUAGGAGUUAAUCUAUGUAUUUUUGAGAGUGUAAGAUAUUUUACUGUAUCUAUUUUUACAUUUCAUUAUUUAUUGUAGGUGCUAAAAUAAAAUAAAAAGGACUUUACUAUCUUUGUCGAGUAAUUAUUAUUGUCAUGUUUGCUUAUUCUUUUUUGUGUAUAAUAUAUAAACAAUGACAUUAUUGCAUUUUUCAACUUGGUAUUUUUUUUAUAAAUAUUUUUAUUCUAUUUAUCUAUUAUCUUAAUCUUUCAUCAUUUAAGUUUGGACUUGAAUAUGAAAAUAAUUAAACAAGUCGUUUAUUAAAAAAGAUAUUUAAUACUAAUAGUUCAAAUUUUCGUAAGAAUUUUUUUUUAUUUUUUUUUACAAUCAAAUUUAUUAGAAAUGAGAGAAGUAAAAUGAAUACUUAACUCAUAACUCAGGAAUAAUACAACAGAUACUUGUUCAGUAAAAAACAAACUCUAACUUAAGUAUAUAAACAAAGAUGAGGGUUUGAGUACCAUUCAUAAUACAAACACACUUCCUCAUUUUUCUUAACAAGGAACCAUCUCCAAGAUUUUUGUAAGAAUAUAAAAGAAAUAUAUGUUUAAUUGUAUCUUAAUUUUCUAAAGGAACCAAAAUUUAAGAUAAAAAUAAAGAUAUUAAAAUAUAAAGAUUUGCGAGAAUUUUUUUUGUUUUUUUUUGUUUUAAAGAAUAGAGCGGCGAAAUUCAAUUUAUAUAGGUGAAACGGACUAUUGUGGGUUUGACUAUGCCUAUUCAAAACCAAAGAACUAUUGCGAGUUUGACUAUGCCUAUUGAAAACCAAAAAAAUUGUUAACCAAGAUAUUUAGGUAAAGUGGUUAAUGAGUUAGACAAAAAUAUGAAUAAUUUUGGAGUUUUUGAGUCUGAUUCCUGAGUAGAAAAAGUCAACACGAACAAAAAAAAAUUGACCGUUUACGCCAUUGAUUUGUGGUCUACCAUAAGUUUGAAUUUGUUCAGUUUUCUCCACGAUUAAAUGCGACUAUAAAUCGGCCAUUUUAGAAAUAGGGAAUCAGAAUUCCCUUAACUUGUAUGAAAUCGACCUUUAUUCUCUAAGUUACAAAAGGUUAAAUUUUUAAGAUAAAGUUUCCUUUUAUUACUUUUUUUUUGUGGUACCUUUUAUUACUUCCUUAAUCGAUGUUCUAAGGGCAUUCAUUAGCAAGACCCAUAUUUUAUUUUUAUUUUUGUAUUUAAAAAGAAUAGAGAUUGAGAAAGAGAAAUGUGUAAGAGAGAAUGUGAGAAAAGGGAUAAAUAUGUAAAAUAUAAUAUCAUUUGAAAUAUGAUAUAAAAAACAGAGAAAAUGUUUUAUAUUUUAGGGUUACUUGUUAAAGUAGCCUAUGUAAUAUAUGCAAAGUCUGAAAAUAGUCCUUGUAAAUAUAAAAACACAAACUAUAUCCUUGUAGAGGAAGAUUCAAGAUCCAAAACAGAGGUCAAACUCUUUCUGGCAUCAGAAGCAAUGAAACUAGUGGGAGAGAUAACAACGUGACGAAGUAGGAGUGAGGAUGAGAACGAAGCAAAAAUGAAAAAUGGGUUUUAUAGAAUAAAACAGAGGGAUUUCAAUUUCAAAGUUUGAAGUGAAUGAAUGUUUAAAUUUAUGUUUAUUUUUUGUUUAUGGGUUUUUAUGGAUUUUUUAUGAAGGUUGAUGAUAAAGAUGGUAUGAAGUAGGGUUGUGAAAUUCUG